RNAcentral lists this ribosomal RNA (429 nucleotides) under Fusobacteriota bacterium. RNAcentral describes it as "Fusobacteria bacterium partial 16S ribosomal RNA". It matches the Rfam family "Bacterial small subunit ribosomal RNA", at positions 355 to 776 of the family's 1533-position model. The record is from RNAcentral. Lineage: Bacteria; Fusobacteriati; Fusobacteriota.
UGGGGAAUAUUGCGCGAUGGGCGAAAGCCUGACGCAGCGACGCCGCGUGAGGGAUGAAGGUUUUCGGAUCGUAAACCUCUGUCAGAAGGGAAGAAACCGCACUGUGCUAAUCAGCAGUGCCUUGACGGUACCUUCAAAGGAAGCACCGGCUAACUCCGUGCCAGCAGCCGCGGUAAUACGGAGGGUGCAAGCGUUAAUCGGAAUUACUGGGCGUAAAGCGCACGUAGGCUGCUUUGUAAGUCAGGGGUGAAAUCCCACGGCUCAACCGUGGAACUGCCUUUGAUACUGCUUAGCUUGAAUCCGGGAGAGGGUGGCGGAAUUCCAGGUGUAGGAGUGAAAUCCGUAGAUAUCUGGAGGAACAUCAGUGGCGAAGGCGGCCACCUGGACCGGUAUUGACGCUGAGGUGCGAAAGCGUGGGGAGCAAACAGG